GACAGAGGGUGCAAGCGUUAUUCGGAGUUACUGGGCGUAAAGGGCGCGUAGGUGGUUUGAUCAGUCUGGUGUGAAAGCCCCACUCUUAAGGUGGGAAGUGCACCAGAUACUGUCAGACUCGAGUGCAGGAGGGGAGAGCGGAAUUCCUGGUGUAGAGGUGAAAUUCGUAGAUAUCAGGAGGAACAACGGCGGCGAAGGCGGCUCUCUGGACUGUAACUGACGCUGAGGCGCGAAAGCGUGGGGAGCAAACAGG
RNAcentral lists this unclassified non-coding RNA (253 nucleotides) under uncultured delta proteobacterium. RNAcentral describes it as "contains 16S-23S intergenic spacer region". It matches the Rfam family "Bacterial small subunit ribosomal RNA", at positions 524 to 776 of the family's 1533-position model. The record is from RNAcentral. Lineage: Bacteria; Deltaproteobacteria.